This is an RNA transcript of Homo sapiens (human), 1067 nucleotides long. It is a transcript of the gene named MPHOSPH10 pseudogene 1, with no coding region annotated. Lineage: Eukaryota; Metazoa; Chordata; Mammalia; Primates; Hominidae. The record is from RefSeq and is marked validated. The transcript is spliced from 3 exons.
AGAUAUGGGUGGUGACAAUCCUGAAGUGGGCAAGAAAGCUAGAAACUCAAGCAAAUUUGAGCUGAGGAAAAGCCCAGUUUUCAGUGAUGAGGAUUCUGACCUUGACUUUGAUAUCAGCAAAUUGGAACAGCAGAGCAAGGUGCAAAACACAGGACAUGGAAAACCAAGAGAAAAGUCCAUAAUAGACGAGAAAUUCUUCCAACUCUCUGAAAUGGAGGCUUAUUUAGAAAACAGAGAAAAAGAAGAGGAACGAAAAGAUGAUAAUGAUGAUGAGUCAGGUAAAAGUUCCAGAAAUGUGAACAACAAAGAUUUUUUUGAUCCAGUUGAAAGUGAUGAAGACAUAGCAAGUGAUCAUGAUGAUGAGCUGGGUUCAAACAAGAUGAUGAAAUUGCUGAAGAAGAAGCAGAAGAAGGAAGCAUUUCUGAAAUAUGAAUGAAAAAAAUUACAUCUUUAGAAAAAGAGUUAUUAGAAAAAAGCCUUGGCAGCGUCGGGGGGAAGUGACAGCACAGAAGAGACCAGAGAAUAGCUUCCUGGAGGAGACCCUGCACUUUAACCAUGCUGUCUGGAUGGGUACAGUGCCCUCUUCUGCAAAGAGUUCACUUCUAUGCUUUUUCUGUGGUUCCAUUUCAUAGAAAGAUUUGGGGCGAUGUUUCUUUUCCCUUAACUUUUUAUUUUAAAAACUUGCAAACACAGAAAAGUUGAUAAAAUCAUACAGUGAACAUCUGUAUUCUAUUCAACUGGAUUCACUAGUUCACAUUUUGUCAUAUUUGUGUUCUCUUUUCCCCAUAUGGAAGAUUGUAUAUUUGCCCUUUUUCCCCCUGAAUCAUUUCAAAGUAAGUUGCCAGUAUCAUAGCAUUUCACUGUUAAGUACUUUUGCAGAUAUCUCCUAAGAACCAGGAUAUUCUCCUAUAUAAUCACAAUACCAUUAAUCCACCCAAAACAUUUAACAUCAGUACACUAAUGAUACCUACUGUAUAGAUUAUAAUCAGCUUCCUUGCAGUAAUCUGUUUAGAAGACUUGCAUCCUGUCACUGUCCACUGAUUAAAUUUUGAACUCUUAACUUGAAA